Molecule: long non-coding RNA, 9805 nt
Filed under: Homo sapiens (human)
Lineage: Eukaryota; Metazoa; Chordata; Mammalia; Primates; Hominidae
Description: HSALNT0295526
Source: RNAcentral
AAAAAUAGCUGGAAAGUUCCCAAUCAUAACAAAAAUUAUAAAUCCAGUGACCCAAGGAGCUGAGGAAACCAAAGCGCAAGAAACAUGAAUAAAACCACUCCUAGAUACAUCAUAAUAACAUUGCUCAAAUCUGGCCAGAAGAAAAAGACAUUGUACAUACACAGGAGCAAAAAUGAGGAUUGCAUCAGCUUCCUUUCUGCUCUUGCCGGCCUCUACCAGGAGCAGCAAUGCACACGAGCAGACAGAGAAGCAACAUCUUUAAGGUACUGAGGGCAGGAGAAGUUAAUGUAGAAUACUAUGCCAGAAAAAAUAAAUUCCCAAAAGUGGAAGUGAAAUAAGGACAUUUAGAGAUGUACAAAAGCUGACCGAAUUCACUACCAGUCAACCCACACUACAAGAAACAUCAAAUGAGUCCUCCAAGCAGAAGGAAUCCAAUACCAGAUGAAAAUCCAGAUCUCCACGAGGAAAUGAAGAACACCAGAAAUGGAUCGGCCCUUUCUUCAAAUAAGAGCAGUUGGAAUAACAAAGCUGUUCAGUUGUACCCUUGGAAUCCACUGAAAUCCUGGGUAGGGAAGCUCCAGUACCACCAACUGGAAAGACUGGGAAUGCCUAAUAGCUGGUACUGGCCAUUGUCGUAGGCUUUGUCCACUCUGACAAACUGAAGAUGGGGACUCGACUCACCUUCGCCAGCCACAGGAGGACCUCCAGACGAGGACAGGACUCGCUGCCUUUCUUUCCCGUCAGAAAGGGAUCCCUUGCGGACAGGACCUAAGUGAGUAGCUGGUUUCCCCUACUUGUCCUUCCGGGCCUGGGUGUCUCGGGGGCUCAGGCUGACGGGAGACCUAACUACCGGCGAGUGAGACCAGCAGGAGCCUGGAGGGGCGCGCACCAGGGUGGAGGUUUGGUGCCGGGGGUUGAGAACAACAGUCAAACCCUCUUCUUCCCCUGGCACCACGCACCUGCCCCCCGGGAUGCCGAACGAAGUGGUCCCUAAAGCUCCUCUGCAGGCCCAACCGAAACAGGCCUGAAGCUCCAGGAUGGGCGAGAGGAUCCUCUUUGAGCGAAACCAGCCUUCUGCCUGGCUGGCCCUGGUCAACACCCUGGGAAGAGGCCGAUUUGGCGGACAGAACGGAAGAAAAGACCUAAAGGUAGAAUCUCAUGAUGUCGAGAUGUUAAAACACUCAAAUUUUAAGGUUCGACUGUGAGGGGGAGAUAGGGGGUCUCGAGCUGGAUCGACCCCUGAGCCUUCAUCUGCAGAGUCCUGUGCACCAGCUCAGAGGACAGGACUAUGUGCACCAAUGGUUCUCAUCAGGCGGCAACUUCACCCUCACAUGCCUCCCCCAUCCCUGCUGGUACACAAGACCACGACUAGGGGAAGCCCGGAGGGAGAAUGUUAACCCCUGGCAUCUAUCUAGUCAGCAGAGGUGAGGGAUGCUGCUAAACACCUUACAAUCCACCGGAGGACACCCGCCCCCACCGACCCCGAAGUAGCCAUUCCCUGGAGGUGGGGAAACUCGCCUGUAGAUCAAUGCCCACGCACUUGGCGGACAGGAAAUCACGAAUUGGCCACUAACUGGAUCUUGGAUCUGAGGAAAAAAUUCCAGCGUCAGAGGGAACUCUCGGAGAUUUGCCCAGAGCAUAAGGAACGUACUCCUUCCCUCAGUGAUGGAUCCUCACAUCUGGGGGAAAUCAUAGACAAUUUCUUUUGUAGGGCGAACUCUGCUAUACAGUUUAUGAUGUCAGAGUGAAUACUUUCUUUGAGUUGCAGUCAGAAACUGUAGAUUUUUAAAAAUUUAAAAUUCAUUAUUCUCUGUCAGUAUUCCAAAGUGUAUACAGAAAGCUAUUGCACUGUUCAGGAGAUGGCGCUUAACAUUUUGGAAAUUCAAGGUGAUGAAUGUCCAGAUAAGACUAUCUCUCCUGGUACAAAGUUUGACAAUGCUGAACACUUUUAAAGGUUCUUUUUGAUAUACAAAGUGCACCAAUGAGUGCUUUUUAAUUCUUACAAUAAUUCUGGGUGAGGUAGGUAUUUUUCCAAUUCCCAUUUUAUGCUUCGGUAGCCCUUUGUAUUUAUACUUCAAAACACUUGGCUCUCUUGUAAUUAUUUAAGAAAUUAGUUGUGAUUAUUUGUUUAAUGUGCAGGAGUUACAAAAGGCAAGCUUUAGAACAAGACAGACCUGGUUAUGAUUCCUGGCUCUGAAAGCUGUACACCCUGUGACCCUAGACAGGUGUUUUAAUGCCUCGCUGCCUCUGUUUCUUGCUCUGUAAAAUGUGAACAAUAACAGUAUUGGCCUCAUGCUUUUUUUGGGUUUUAAAAGUAAUAAUGUGGACAAAGAUCAGUGGAGUGCCUGGCAUGCUGAACCCAUUCCAUGACUGUUAGAUAUAGUUGUUAUGAUUUGUAUCAAUCCAUUUUCACACUGCUAUAAGGAACUACCUGAGACUGGGUAAUCUAUGAAGAAAAGAGGUUUAAUUGACUCACAGUUCUGCAUGGCUGGGAGUCCUCAGGAACUUACAAUCAUGGCAGAAGGGGAAGCAAGACAUUUCUUAUAUGGCAGCAGGACAGAAAGAGAGAGAGUGAAGGGGGAAGUGCCACACACUUCCAAACAACCAUAUCUUGUGGUUAAUUAAAAAGUACUCAUUGGUGUGCCUUGUAUAGAAAAAAAUAUACACUCACUAUCAUGAGAACAGCAAGGAGGGAGUCUGCCCCCAAGAUUCAAUCACCUCCCAGUAGACCCCUCCCCUGACAUGUGGGGAUUACAAUUCAAGAUGAGAUUUGGGUGGGGAAACAGAGUCAAACCAUAUCGUGAUUGUUCUAUAAUAAAGAGAUGCCCACAUGUGUUUCAUCAGGGACAGUGCUCAUUAACCAGUUGUCCUGCCGUAAUUAUUAAUAGUAUCCCCUUUGCUUUCAAAAGUGUCCUAGUUUACAAAAAGUAUAGAAAUGGAGGACAGAAUAGUGGUUGCCCAAGAUUGGAAAAGGGUAAGGGUAAAGGGUGCAGAGGUGGAUGUGGUUAUAAAAGGCAACAUGGGAGAUCCUCGUAGUGAAGGAACUGUUUAGUAUCUCCACUGUGGUGGUAGAUACCCGAACCUAAACAUGUGAAAAAUUGCAUGAAACUAAACACACACACAAACAAGUACAAGUUAAGUUAGGAAAAUCCAAAUAAGAUUUCUACAUUGUAUCAAUAGGUAUAUCUUGAUUAUGAUAUUGCAAGAUGGUACUAUUCAAGGAAACUGGGUAGAGGCUACAUGAGACUCCCCUGUAUUAUUUCCUAUAACUCCAUGUGAAUCUACAAGGAUCUCAGGAUUAAGGAAGAUAUCCUAGUUUGGAAGAUAAAAAAUAUAUCCCAGUAGUAAUAUCCACUGUCCCACCAGGGCCUGACUACCUUCUAUAAAAAGAAGUGCCUUUGUUCCCCUCAAGUUCCUUUAUUUGGUUUUAUUCUUCUUCACAGUACCUACCUCCACUUGGCAGAUUACAUUUAUUUUUUCAUCUUUCAACAGCUAUUUACUGAAUGCCUACUAGAUGCCAGGCUUGAGAUCUAGCAAUGAACAAGAUCUCUGUGAAACUUACAUUCCAGGAGGAGAAAUAAAUAAUAAACCAAAAAUAUAAUCAGUAAAUUAUUUAAUAUGCUGGGAAACAAUAUGUGUAAUGGAAGAAAUAUGUAAAGUGAUGGAUUAGGGUUCUCCAGAGAAACAGAACCAACAAUUGACUCAUGUGAUUAUGGAGGCUGAGAAGUCUCAAGAUCACAGUUGGCAAGCUUGAGACACAGGAGAGCCCAUGGUGUGUUUCUGAUUUGAGUCCAAAGGCCUGAGAACCAGGAGAGAUGAUGGUGUGAUUACAGUUCAAAAGCUGGCAGGCUUGAGGCCCAGGAAGAGCCAGUGUUGCAGUUCAAUUCCAAAGGCAGGAAAAGGCUGAUAUCUCAGCUGAAGCAAUCAGGCAGAAGGAGCUCUCUCUUACUCAUGGGCAGGUCAGACUUUUGGUUCUAUUCAGGCCUUUAAGUGAUUGGAUGAGGAUCAUCUACUGGGGAAAGAAAUAAGCUUUAUUCAGUGUACUGAUUCAAAUGUUAAUCUCAUCCAAAACCAUGCUCACAGACACACCCAGCAUAAUGUUUGACCAAGUAUCUGGGCACCUUGUGGUUCAGUCAAAUUAACACAUAUUAACUACCUUAGCAAGAUGAAAAGCAGUGAAUGCAGGAUGGUGGUUGAAAUUUUAAAUACGUUGGUUAUAUAGUCUCAUUGAAAAAGGAACAUUUGAGUGAAGACUUGAAGGGGUGGUGGAAUAAACCAUUUAUUUGCUUAUUGCCUGUCUCCCUCUAUCAGAAUGAAAGCUUCAUGAAGCGAGAGACUUAAUUUUUAUCUGUUAUAUCCCUAGUGCCUGGUGCAGGGUAAGUACUCAAAAAUAUUUGUUGAGUGAAUAAGUAAUGAUUGAGGAUGGGGACUGGUUUGUAUCUGGUUAUAUCUCUUGUCCUUAGCACAGUACCUGGCACAUCCUAAGCCAUCCAAAAGAGUUGGUUAUAUGAUUGUCUUUGAAUUCUAUGACUGUUUAUAAUAUACAGUAAACUUCACUGAAGACACUGACUCACUUGUUUUGUUUGAUAUUGUGGCCCCAGCACUGCAGCACUUAGAACAGUGCCUAGAAAAUACAUAAUAGUUAGUGAAAAAUUGUUAUUGACCAAAUGGGCACAGAUAAGGAGACUGAGGCUCAGAAAUGUUAAAUGAGUUGAAAAUAGUCUCACAGCCAGGAAGCAACAAAGCAUGGGGCCUAACUUUGUCUUUUUAAUUCUCAAAUUACAAUAUUUCAUCUAUAUCAAACUGCUUUAAAAAUUGUCCUGGGGUCUCUCGUUUGGCCAUGGCCUUUCUUUCACCUACACCAUCUCUCUUCCUUGUCCACUCCAGGCUGUGUUGUGUGGUCAUGUCUCCCUGAGUGACAAGCAGGCUGGUUAUGUGGAGUUGUCAGCACACAAGCCUCCCAGAGGAUGGCCUUCUCCUCCAGGUGCCACAGUGUCAGGGGACACUCUCUUCCAUUAGCACAAGCAGAAGGUAAUGCAACCUUUUGGUGGCCAUCGACUUUGUCAGACAAUAGUGCCGUUCAGUUUGAAAGACUCCACUGGGAAGUCGCAGACUUUUAAAACUAAUUUGGUGUUUAUUCAACUUUGCAAUCACUUCUAUGUACUAUCUGUGUUUCACACACCAUGAAACGGUGCUAUACUGUGCAAUUGAAUUAGUUGUACAGUGACUCAAAGGCAUUAAACAAUGACUUUGAUAUUUUAAGUACUGACUAGGAGGGAUUUUUAAUUCCUUCCUCAUAAUGAAAACAGCAAAAAAAAUCCAGUUACACAACCCUGGAACACUUACUCUCUUUUCUCUUCUGGGUGGACCCCAGUGAGACAGAAAAAACCUCCGAGCACUUAAUUUGCUUCAUGGCAGGAGAAAAAUUAAACAAGCAUAGACGUGCAACCUUAAUGACACCCAGCAACACUAGAAUAACAGUUCCCAGCUUCUAAAACCUGAUAUUUAGUAUAAUGGGUAAAUCUGGUGGGAGCUUUUCAGUGCUGCUGAGUUUGAAAAAACAGCUACUUUGUGAGGAGGGGUGGGGGUAGAGGCAGGGAGAGUGUCUUGCUUGUGCUCACUUGUUAGGAGGGUCUCAGUGCAGAAGCCAAGCCAGAGGGGUGCAGGCAAAAUACAGCACUGGCAGGAGAGUCCCUGAAGGCUGUGACCCUUCUGCAGACAACAGCAUCACUAUGCUAGGCACAAAUGUGUCAGUUCUGCCAGAAACAACAUGGGACUUUUCAUACAGUGCCUUUCUGGAGAUGGUACUGACAGAAAGGAAGAAGAGAGGGGGAAAAACAAUGCAACAAAAAACGAAAACCAUAGCAAGUGAAUUAGUACCAUGAAACUAUGAGCAUUAACUGGUUAUAGUUCAGGGCAAAGCACCUCAGUGAUGAUUCACAUCUGACAAUAAAUACAGGAAUAGCUGUUGAAAGCUAGUUUGAUUUUCACAAAGAGGUUUAAACAAACUUUCGUUUGUUCAUUAGUCUUAAGCAACACAUUUAUGGCAGGGGAUGCAUUAAACCUAACAUAUGUCUGUGACCAAGGUAUUUGGUGGUUUUAAAGAUGAAGACACAAAGCCGUGCAUAUAGUUUAUGCGGAGCGGCCUUGAACUACCCGUAAUGGAGUGAGAUACAGUUAUUAUGUAUUAAUGCUGUGAAUCUUCAUCCAGAGAGAGAAAACAAACAGGCGAGAAGGAAUGCAGCAUCUUUGAAGAUAAAGACUUAGAGGGCCCCAUUCUGCAAUUGGUAUUGAGUUUGCAUAAACUCAUUUUGUUGUUGUUGUUGCUGCAUAAUUUUUAAAAUGCAACUGGUUUAAAUCUGUUCCCUGAGGUAAUUUACGCUAAAGCAGCAUUCUAACACCAUAAAUUCCCUGCUUAUGGCAAUCUCUGGUUGGGUGUCAGGUCGGUGUAAGUUACUGAGCAAAUGGCUGCUUCAAAAUUUUUAGGGUAAUUGCCUCUAUAACUCGUUUAGCAUAGGCCUUGUCAGGAAAUCUCUAAUUGUAAUUGAUGCCUCUGCUUCCUUUUCUCCUCCUGCUUUUUAACCACAUUGUUGUACUAAAAGCUUCACUCUCCAGUGCAGAAGAGCAUGGGGCUUUUCAUCUUCUGUAGCACUCGGAUUUUGUUAUUAUUAAAGCCUUCCCUCAUGAAAACGUGAUGUCACCCCCGAUGGGGUCCAGAAGGUGGUGGUUGGUUGGGUGUACCUCUGCCCCAGCCCAAUCUCUACCCUUGCCUAGGAAACCUUCAGUACAGAGAAGGUAGAUCUUGAUGGGGUUGAGAUAAAAUGAAGAGCAAGUUACCACUACUCCAAUUCUAAGUUUUGUAUGAAUGCUGGGUUGGCUGUUGAUUUCUACCAGAAUGGUGUGAGCAAAGUCAACAGCAUAUUUUUCUCUCUUCUCUCAUCUCAUGUGUAUGGGCAUGAUGCCUUGGUAGGAAGGGUAUCAUUGGAAUUGUAUAUUACAAUAUUCAUGGCCAGGAGCUUCUGUUGAUUUGUGUCUACAUACGGGGAUUUUUCAUGAAAUUGCAUAAAGCAUGUAAAGAAUCAACUCCAAAAUCCAAUUUGUUAAUUAUCUUGCUUAAAAUAUACUUCAAUUAUAUCACAUUUGACAUCGUAUGUCAUUGAUAGUAGACGGAAAUAACACUUAAAAUCAAUAAGUGUUUUUAAUUUAUUUUACUUAUUAUGCUUGUCAUAAUAUUUUGACAUGGAGUGCUGACAUGUCAACGAUGCUGUUAUCAGGAGGUAAGGCAAUGGCAUUAAACUGUCUCACCAUCUGUGCUACUGUUUCAGCAUAAAGUGGGCCCAUGGGGAAAAUAUAGCUAAAAUCUCCAAUGAAGUGUCUGCUUAUGAAGUAAAUACAGGUCAUCACUGAAUAAAGCAGCCUGAGCUCAAAACAAAACCUGAGGGAAAAAAAUCCACACUCUAAUCUAUUAUCUUUUCUCCCAAAGGAUUCAACAAUAAGAGCACUAAAAAUAUGCGAGUGCUGUCUGUGUGCCAGACUUGUGAAAAGUGUUCCACAUAUUUUAUCUCAUCUCCUCUAAGAGGUGAGGUACUUGCACAUGGCAAAACCCAGCUCUGAAUGAAAGUCUGUGUGAUUCCAUGCCUGGAUCUAUUCUCAGAAACCAAAGCCAUCACUAUUCUAUAUGGUUUGGAUAGAAAAUGGAUUCUGACUUCUGGAUCCUCUCCUGGCUAUUACAAUCCACAUCGCAGGGGGGUGAGGCACCCCCCGCGAUAUGGGGAGUCAUAGCAACCCCCUCUCCCCCCCUGGCUGUCACAAUCCACAUCGCAGGUGUGUGAGGCAACCCCUGCGAUAUGGGGAGUAAUAGGAACCCCCUCCACCUGCCCCGGCUAUCACGAUCCACAUCUCAGGGGGGUGAGGCACCCCCCGCAAUAAGGGGAGUAAUAGCAACGAUCUCUCCACCCCUAGCUAUUACGAUCCACGGUGGACUCAUAGCCUGUUUACGAUAUUGUCUUUUCUUCCGUUCUGUCCUCCAAAUCGGCCUCUUCCGAGUGUGUUGACCAGGGCCAGCCAGGCAGAAGGCUGGUUUCGCUCAAAGAGGAUCCUCUCGCCCAUCCUGGAACUUCAGGCCUGUUUCGGUUGGACCUGCAGAGAAGCCUUAGGGGCCACUUCGUUCGGCAUCCCAGGGGGCAGGUGCGCGGUACAGGGAAGAAGAGGGUUUGACUGUUGUUCUCAACCCCCGGCACCAAACCUCCACCCUGGUGCGCGCCCCUCCAGGCUCCUGCUGGUCUCAGUCGCCGGUAGUUAGGUCUCCUGUCAGCCUGAGCUCCCGAGACACCCAGCCCCGGAAGGACACGUAGGGGAAACCAGCUACUCACUUCGGUCUUGUCCGCAAGGGAUCCCUUUCUGACGGGAAAGAAAGGCGGCGAGUCCGGUCCUGUUGAGUAAGCGGAAGAGAGAUCAAGGGGAAGAGAAGAAAAAUCCUGUGAGGUUUCAAGAUCUAAAGUUACCAUGAAGUCGACCUAACCUCGUCUGGAGGUCCUCCUGUGGCUGGCGAAGGUGAGUCGAGUCCCCGUCUUCAGUUUGUCAAAGUGGACAAAGCCUACGACAAUGGCCAGUACCAGCUACUAGGCAUUCCCAGUCUUUCCAGUUGGUGGUACUGGAGCUUCCCUACCCAGGAUUUCCGUGGAUUCCAAGGGUACAACUGAACAGCUUUUGUUGUUCCAACUGCUCUUAUUUGAAGAAAGGGCCGAUCUGUUGAGAAGUACAUAGGAAAACCACUUUGGUAAGAGUAGUAUAGCAACUGUUGUUGAGACUGUCACAUUCCCCCCACCUCCUCCUCCCUCCUCCUAGAAAUGUUCAAUGAAAAUUAAUCCCCACGACGGGCCUGUUGUACUUUCAAUGUACAAUUGGCAGAACCUAAGGGAACUCUAGGAGGUUCCGGGAUGAAUAUGGGAAGUAUGACACAGUCAUUUUUAUUUACACAUGCAUUCCAAAAACACAUUGAAUAAACACAUCCAGUUCACCUGUGCCACACUUACAAAGAUGGGAAAAGAGGAACUACAUACAAACAAGUGAAGAUGUAAUUGAAUGGCUUUUAAAUAUCUGCUGAAGGUUUCCACUGAAGGUCUUCUACCAGUGUCUUCUCUUUCUCUAAAAUAAGACAUUCAAGUGCCAGACCCUGAAAUAAGUUUUCUGGUUCCAGCUUGUUCUUUCCCAUUCUGUAUCUUUGCCCCUCCACUCUCUUCUUACAUAUGCAGGAAAGGUCAGCUCUCCCUCAGUUUCUAAUUUGCAACAUCCCACAUGAAGAAUGCAAUGACCAGCAUCAAAAAUUAGACACCCUCCAUGGGACUCCAUCUCUGUCUUAGUUGGAGCUAAUGUACCAUAAACUGGGUAGCUGAUCCACAACAGACAUUUCUCACAGUUCUGGAGUUUGGAAGUCUAAGGUCAAGGUGCCAGCAUGGUAGGGUUAUGGUGAGGAACCUCUUCCUGGUCAUAGACUGCCAUCUUCCUACUGUAUCUGCAGGGGGCUGAAAGAGGCUGAGAGAGCUCUCUAGUGUCCCUUUUAUAGGGGCACUAAUCCCACUCAGGAGGACUCCACCCUCUGGAUCUAAUUACCUCCCAAAGGCCCCUCCUCCUAAUUUUAACACUUUCCAGGGGUGGACAGGGGAAGGUUAGGGUUUCAACCAAGGCAUUUUGGGGGGACACAAAUAUUAGGUCUCCUGUGAUCUUUCAAGAAGAAGAAGAAAUUAUAAAUGACCCAAAGCUUUGUACAUUUCACAGUUAGAAAUAAAGAAAACUUUUCCUAAGA